AAACCAACAGGGAUUGCCUUAGUAGCGGCGAGUGAAGCGGCAAUAGCUCAAAUUUGAAAUCUGCCAACAGGCCGAGUUGUAAUUUGAAGAAAGCAAUUCUGGAUGUGUCUUUGCUCAAGUUCCUUGGAAUAGGACAUCAUGGAGGGUGAGAAUCCCGUGAUGCGAAGGUAGCACGUCUAUGUAGAAUGUUUUCGACGAGUCGAGUUGUUUGGGAAUGCAGCUCAAAGUGGGUGGUAAAUUCCAUCUAAAGCUAAAUAUUGGCGAGAGACCGAUAGCGAACAAGUACUGUGAAGGAAAGAUGAAAAGAACUUUGAAAAGAGAGUGAAAAAGUACGUGAAAUUGUUGAAAUGGAAGGGCUUGAGAUUAGACAUGGUGUUUAGUGUUCCGCUUUCUUUNGGGAAUGUGUACUCGCUUUACACCGGGCCAGCAUCAGUUUUGAUGGGAGGAUAAAUGGUAUUGAAUGUGGCUGCUUGCAGUGUUAUAGCUUUAUCAAAUACUUCCAAUCGGGACUGAGGACCGCGCAUUUGCUAGGAUGCUGGCGUAAUGAUCUUAAGCCACCCGUCUUGAAC
Molecule: ribosomal RNA, 569 nt
Filed under: Wickerhamiella sorbophila
Lineage: Eukaryota; Fungi; Ascomycota; Dipodascomycetes; Dipodascales; Trichomonascaceae
Description: LSU rRNA
Rfam family: Eukaryotic large subunit ribosomal RNA
Source: RNAcentral